RNAcentral lists this ribosomal RNA (492 nucleotides) under uncultured bacterium. RNAcentral describes it as "partial 16S ribosomal RNA". It matches the Rfam family "Bacterial small subunit ribosomal RNA", at positions 29 to 507 of the family's 1533-position model. The record is from RNAcentral.
AGUGAACGCUGGCGGUAGGCCUAACACAUGCAAGUCGAACGGCAGCACAGUAAGAGCUUGCUCUUACGGGUGGCGAGUGGCGGACGGGUGAGGAAUACAUCGGAAUCUACUUUUUCGUGGGGGAUAACGUAGGGAAACUUACGCUAAUACAGCAUACGACCUACGGGUGAAAGCAGGGGAUCUUCGGACCUUGCGCGAUUGAAUGAGCCGAUGUCGGAUUAGCUAGUUGGCGGGGUAAAGGCCCACCAAGGCGACGAUCCGUAGCUGGUCUGAGAGGAUGGUCAGCCACACUGGAACUGAGACACGGUCCAGACUCCUACGGGAGGCAGCAGUGGGGAAUAUUGGACAAUGGGCGCAAGCCUGAUCCAGCCAUACCGCGUGGGUGAAGAAGGCCUUCGGGUUGUAAAGCCCUUUUGUUGGGAAAGAAAAGCAGCAGGUUAAUACCCCGCUGUUCCGACGGUACCCAAAGAAUAAGCACCGGCUAACUUCGUG